This is a long non-coding RNA of Salvia splendens (bonfire salvia), 466 nucleotides long. RefSeq lists it as uncharacterized. The transcript is spliced from 3 exons. The record is from RefSeq and is a predicted model, not a curated record. NCBI's taxonomy places the organism in Eukaryota, Viridiplantae, Streptophyta, Magnoliopsida, Lamiales, Lamiaceae.
CUUCCUGCUUUGGUUUUCCGAAGUGAGGAAAAGAAAAACAAAAGGGUGAAAAUUUCCAUAUCCUCCCAACAUCAUUCUCGGCUUCGGAAGGCGUCUUUGACCACUCUACGCCGCUGCAGACACCUCCACUCCCUCCAUUACUUUUUUCCUUAAAGAUUUCUCCAUAAUUAUUCAAAAUGAUUUCUUAAUAAAGACAAUGUAGAUUUGGGCACAGCUUGUGGGAAAUACUUCCGUGUUUCAUGCCUCAGCAUAGUCGAUCCAGGUGACUUGGACAUCAUCAAGUGUUUGCCUGGUGAACAUUGAAAAGAGAUAGUCUUUUGUAAGGCCUUUUCUGUUCUGGAUAUGAUUCUUAUUUCAAGUUGUUGAAUCUCAGAAUUUAUAUCAAGUUCUUUUACCGUGAUAUUUGUUUGGUAUUUUUGACAGCACAUUUUUUAGACAAUUAAGAAAUGGAUUAUUGAAAUAUUUA